This 531-nucleotide ribosomal RNA is filed under the name Naganishia adeliensis. RNAcentral's name for it is "eukaryotic LSU rRNA". It matches the Rfam family "Eukaryotic large subunit ribosomal RNA", at positions 144 to 665 of the family's 3401-position model. The record is from RNAcentral. Lineage: Eukaryota; Fungi; Basidiomycota; Tremellomycetes; Filobasidiales; Filobasidiaceae.
UGUAAUCUAGAGAAGUGUUUUCCGUGCCGGCCCAUGUACAAGUCCCUUGGAACAGGGCGUCAUAGAGGGUGAGAAUCCCGUCCUUGACAUGGACCCCCGGUGCUUUGUGAUACACUUUCAACGAGUCGAGUUGUUUGGGAAUGCAGCUCAAAAUGGGUGGUGAAUUCCAUCUAAAGCUAAAUAUUGGCGAGAGACCGAUAGCGAACAAGUACCGUGAGGGAAAGAUGAAAAGCACUUUGGAAAGAGAGUUAAACAGUACGUGAAAUUGUUGAAAGGGAAACGAUUGAAGUCAGUCAUGCUCUUAGGAUUCAGCCGUUCUGCGGUGUAUUUCCUUUGAGUGGGGUCAACAUCAGUUUUGAUCGAUGGAUAAAGGCACGAGGAAGGUAGCACUCUCGGGUGAACUUAUAGCCUCGCGUCAUAUACAUUGAUUGGGACUGAGGAACGCAGCAUGCCUUUAUGGCCGGGAUUCGUCCACGUACAUGCUUAGGAUGUUGACAUAAUGGCUUUAAACGACCCGUCUUGAAACACGGA